UACGUAGGGGGCAAGCGUUGUCCGGAUUUACUGGGCGUAAAGAGCGCGUAGGCGGAACGUUAAGCGGGGCCGGAAAGCCCUCGGCUCAACUGAGGAAGUGCACCCGAAACUGGCGAGCUUGAGUACGAAAGAGGAUCGCGGAAUUCCCGGUGUAGAGGUGAAAUUCGUAGAUAUCGGGAGGAACACCGGUGGCGAAGGCGGCGAUCUGGGUCGAUACUGACGCUGAGGUGCGAAAGCGUGGGGAGCAAACAGG
RNAcentral lists this ribosomal RNA (253 nucleotides) under uncultured bacterium. Its description in RNAcentral is "partial 16S ribosomal RNA". It matches the Rfam family "Bacterial small subunit ribosomal RNA", at positions 524 to 776 of the family's 1533-position model. The record is from RNAcentral.